This 254-nucleotide ribosomal RNA is filed under the name uncultured bacterium. RNAcentral describes it as "partial 16S ribosomal RNA". It matches the Rfam family "Bacterial small subunit ribosomal RNA", at positions 524 to 776 of the family's 1533-position model. The record is from RNAcentral.
UACGUAGGGUGCGAGCGUUGUCCGGAAUUACUGGGCGUAAAGAGCUCGUAGGCGGUGUGUCACGUCGGCCGUGAAAACCUGCAGCUUAACUGUGGGCGUGCGGUCGAUACGGGCAUCACUGGAGUUCGGCAGGGGAGACUGGAAUUCCUGGUGUAGCGGUGAAAUGCGCAGAUAUCAGGAGGAACACCGGUGGCGAAGGCGGGUCUCUGGGCCGAUACUGACGCUGAGGAGCGAAAGCGUGGGGAGCGAACAGG